CCCUUAGAUGCCCUGGGCCGCACGCGCGCUACACUGAUGCAUUCAACGAGUUUUACCUUGGCCGAGAGGCCUGGGCAAUCUUUUAAACCUGCAUCGUGAUAGGGAUAGAUUAUUGCAAUUAUUAAUCUUGAACGAGGAAUUCCUAGUAAACGCAAAUCAUCAAUUUGCAUUGAUUACGUCCCUGCCCUUUGUACACACCGCCCGUCGCACCUACCGAUUGAAUGGUCCGGUGAAGCCUCGGGAUUGUGGCCAGUUCACUUUAUUGGGAGUUGGCUGUGAGAACUUGUCUAAACCUUAUCAUUUAGAGGAAGGUGAAGUCGUAACA
RNAcentral lists this ribosomal RNA (325 nucleotides) under uncultured eukaryote. RNAcentral's name for it is "partial 18S ribosomal RNA". It matches the Rfam family "Eukaryotic small subunit ribosomal RNA", at positions 1470 to 1796 of the family's 1831-position model. The record is from RNAcentral.